This 500-nucleotide ribosomal RNA is filed under the name uncultured bacterium. RNAcentral's name for it is "partial 16S ribosomal RNA". The record is from RNAcentral.
GGAGUUAGCCGGUGCUUCUUCUGUGAGUGAUGUCCUUCCUGCCGGCUAUUAACCCGCAGGCCUUCUUCCUCACUGAAAGUGCUUUACAACCCGAAGGCCUUCUUCACACACGCGGCAUGGCUGGAUCAGGGUUGCCCCCAUUGUCCAAUAUUCCCCACUGCUGCCUCCCGUAGGAGUCUGGGCCGUGUCUCAGUCCCAGUGUGGCUGAUCAUCCUCUCAGACCAGCUACGGAUCGUCGCCUUGGUGAGCCGUUACCUCACCAACCAGCUAAUCCGACAUAGGCUCAUCCGAUAGCGCGAGGCCCGAAGGUCCCCCGNUUUCCCCCGUAGGGCGUAUGCGGUAUUAGCCUGGGUUUCCCCAGGUUAUCCCCCACUACCGGGCAGAUUCCUAUGCAUUACUCACCCGUCCGCCGCUCGCCACCAGGGAGCAAGCUCCCCGUGCUGCCGCUCGACUUGCNUGUGUAGCUCGCGCAGCGUCAUCNGAGCGAGANACAACUCNGA